UACGUAGGGUGCAAGCGUUAAUCGGAAUUACUGGGCGUAAAGCGUGCGCAGGCGGUGAUGGAAGACAGAUGUGAAAUCCCCGGGCUCAACCUGGGAACUGCAUUUGUGACUGCAUCGCUGGAGUGCGGCAGAGGGGGGUGGAAUUCCGCGUGUAGCAGUGAAAUGCGUAGAUAUCGGAAGGAACACCAGUGGCGAAAGCGGCUUCCUGGUCCAGCACCGACGUUCAGGCACGAAAGCGUGGGGAGCAAACAGG
RNAcentral lists this ribosomal RNA (253 nucleotides) under uncultured bacterium. Its description in RNAcentral is "partial 16S ribosomal RNA". It matches the Rfam family "Bacterial small subunit ribosomal RNA", at positions 524 to 776 of the family's 1533-position model. The record is from RNAcentral.